AGGUGCCUACGGGGGGCAGCAGUGGGGAAUAUUGCACAAUGGGGGAAACCCUGAUGCAGCGACGCCGCGUGAGUGAAGAAGUAAUUCGUUAUGUAAAGCUCUAUCAGCAGGGAAGAAAAUGACGGUACCUGAGCAAGAAGCCCCGGCUAACUACGUGCCAGCAGCCGCGGUAAUACGUAGGGGGCAAGCGUUAUCCGGAUUUACUGGGUGUAAAGGGAGCGCAGACGGCAGUGCAAGUCUGGAGUGAAAGCCCGGGGCCCAACCCCGGAACUGCUCUGGAAACUGUGCGGCUAGAGUACUGGAGG
RNAcentral lists this ribosomal RNA (305 nucleotides) under uncultured bacterium. RNAcentral describes it as "bacterial SSU rRNA". It matches the Rfam family "Bacterial small subunit ribosomal RNA", at positions 333 to 655 of the family's 1533-position model. The record is from RNAcentral.